Long non-coding RNA from Anguilla rostrata (American eel), 988 nucleotides. RefSeq lists it as uncharacterized. The transcript has 4 exons. The record is from RefSeq and is a predicted model, not a curated record. Lineage: Eukaryota; Metazoa; Chordata; Actinopteri; Anguilliformes; Anguillidae.
UGCCUUGCUACUAAUUUGGGUGGAAUUGGCGCUUUCAUUUCUAUGUUUUUUUACCUGCAGGAAUGAAAAUAAAUUAUGGAGAGCACCCGGAGAGGAGCAUUAUUUCAGCACCAGUCUUUAUCUUUCCACGAGAAGUUAUGAAUACACGGCUGAGUAUUAAAUGGAGCGAUGAGAACAUUGUCUGGAUAGGCAAUGAAAAAGCAGGAGGGAUUAUUUGGCUGCUGAGGGAGAAUGCAAACCGACAGAAUGAAGGCCCCCCCCUUCCCAAGUCUUGGAGGCAUCUGUCCCUGGAGGAAAAGGCCCUGUGCUGAUUACCUGAAGCAGAUCGUCUCCUCCAUUGUCCUGUGGGCGCUCCUGGGUGAUGAAGGUCAUCAGCUCCUACACGCACUGUUGCCUGGCUGACGAAGAGGAGCAGCCUGCGGUCGUGAGCCUUGCCUCUUCCUCCUCCUCCUCCUCCUCCGUCGGCUCCCUCAAUGACACCUCCAGGGUCGGGGUCAGGAUCAGAGAAGACGGGAGAGGACAGUCACAGCGUCGGCACAGCCAGGGCGACACUGUUGAUGCUGGGGUUUUGUUCACCGGAAAGGGCGGGGGGAGCUUGGGGAGGACCAUGUGCUGACAGGUUCUUAAUCAGGUCCUAUGAUAAUGUUAUGAAUCGGGUCAUAAAGUGAGUGAGUCACUCAUUUAAUCAGACCCUGUGAUAGUGUUAAGUGAGUGAGUGACUUUUUAACAGGCUCUGCAAUAGUGUUAUGAAUCGAGUCACUCUUUAACUGACCAAGUGAUAGUGUUAUAAAGUGAGUGAGUCACUCUUUAACAGGCUCUGUGAUAGUGCUAUAAAGUGAGUGACUCUUUAACAGAGCCUUUAAUCGUAAUAUAAAGUGAGUCACUCUUGAACAGGCCUUUUGAUAUUGUUAUGAAGUGAGUGAGUCAUUAUUUAACGGGCCCUUUGAUAGCGCUAUAAAGUGAGUGAGUCAUUCUUUAACAGGGCCUG